AACGAACGCUGGCGGCAUGCCUAACACAUGCAAGUCGAACGAGACCUUCGGGUCUAGUGGCGCACGGGUGCGUAACGCGUGGGAACCUGCCCUUAGGUUCGGAAUAACUCCCCGAAAGGGGUGCUAAUACCGGAUAAUGUCUUCGGACCAAAGAUUUAUCGCCUUUGGAUGGGCCCGCGUUGGAUUAGCUAGUUGGUAGGGUAAAAGCCUACCAAGGCGACGAUCCAUAGCUGGUCUGAGAGGAUGAGCAGCCACACUGGGACUGAGACACGGCCCAGACUCCUACGGGAGGAAGCAGUGGGGAAUAUUGAAAAAGGGGCGAAAGCCUAAUCCAGCAAUGCCGCGGGAGUGAAGAAGGCCUUGGGGUUGAAAAGCUUUUUUACCGGGGAGGAAAAUGACAGUACCGGGAAAAUAAGCCCCGGCUAACUCCGUG
This 433-nucleotide ribosomal RNA is filed under the name uncultured bacterium. RNAcentral describes it as "partial 16S ribosomal RNA". It matches the Rfam family "Bacterial small subunit ribosomal RNA", at positions 29 to 507 of the family's 1533-position model. The record is from RNAcentral.